Molecule: ribosomal RNA, 460 nt
Filed under: uncultured bacterium
Lineage: Bacteria
Description: partial 16S ribosomal RNA
Rfam family: Bacterial small subunit ribosomal RNA
Source: RNAcentral
CCUACGGGAGGCAGCAGUGAGGCAUAUUGGUCAAUGGCCGGAAGGCUGAACCAGCCACGCCGCGUGAAGGACGACGGUGCCAAGCAUUGUAAGCUUCUUUUGUCACGGGACAGACUGAGGCUCGAGAGCCUGACCGAGGGUACUUGACGCAAAAGCAUCGGCUAAAUCCGUGCCAGCAGCCGCGGUACUACGGAGGAUCGGAGCGUUAUCCGGAUUUCUUGGGUUUAAAGGGAGCGGAGAUGGGUGGUUAAGUCAGUUGUGAAAGUUUGCGGCUCAACCGUAAAAUUGCAAUGGAUUCUGGCAGUCGUGAGUACAGUUGAGGUAGGCGGAAUGCGUGGUGUAGCGGUGAAAUGCGUAGAGAUCACGAAGAACCCCGAUUGCGAAGGCAGCUUACUAAACUGUGACUGACAUUGAUGCUCGAAAGUGUGGGUAUCAAACAGGAUUAGAUACCCGUGUAGUC